RNAcentral lists this ribosomal RNA (253 nucleotides) under uncultured bacterium. RNAcentral describes it as "partial 16S ribosomal RNA". It matches the Rfam family "Bacterial small subunit ribosomal RNA", at positions 524 to 776 of the family's 1533-position model. The record is from RNAcentral.
UACGUAGGGUGCAAGCGUUGUCCGGAAUUAUUGGGCGUAAAGAGCUCGUAGGCGGUUUGUCGCGUCUGCUGUGAAAACUCGGGGCUUAACCCCGGGCCUGCAGUGGGUACGGGCAGACUAGAGUGCGGUAGGGGGGACUGGAAUUCCUGGUGUAGCGGUGAAAUGCGCAGAUAUCAGGAGGAACACCGGUGGCGAAGGCGGGUCUCUGGACACAUAUUGACGCUGAGGUGCGAAAGCGUGGGGAGCAAACAGG